This 253-nucleotide ribosomal RNA is filed under the name uncultured bacterium. RNAcentral's name for it is "partial 16S ribosomal RNA". It matches the Rfam family "Bacterial small subunit ribosomal RNA", at positions 524 to 776 of the family's 1533-position model. The record is from RNAcentral.
UACAGAGGUCUCGAGCGUUAGGCGGAAUCACUGGGCUUAAAGCGUGUGUAGGCGGAUCGUUAAGUGCCUUGUGAAAUCCCACGGCUCAACCGUGGAACUGCUUGGCAUACUGGCGGUCUUGAGCAACCUAGGGGCGAGCGGAACAAAUGGUGGAGCGGUGAAGUGCGUAGAUAUCAUUUGGAACGCCAAUGGUGAAAACAGCUCGCUGGGGGUUUGCUGACGCUGAGACACGAAAGCCAGGGGAGCAAACGGG